This is a non-coding RNA of Danio rerio (zebrafish), 5421 nucleotides long. NCBI's taxonomy places the organism in Eukaryota, Metazoa, Chordata, Actinopteri, Cypriniformes, Danionidae. The record is from RefSeq and is a predicted model, not a curated record.
UGUUUUAGUAAGAUUUCCACGCAAGUCUUCGUACAUGAGGCCCCUGGUGCUCAGGAAACAGGUAGAACUGCUUAAACAGAUUGAACAAUGGAGUUAGUUUCCAAAGCAAUGUAUUAAGAUUAAUUGAAGACUUGAUAUCUUUCUCUUUGCAGUUGGAGCAUGUGGAGCAACAGGGAAACACACAGAUGGUGCAUGUAUGGAUGUCCUUCCAGGAGGAAGGGGGUGGUGGUGGGCAUAGAUAGAUGUCUUUUCUGUGGCUGUUAUUUACAUUGUAGGUAAUGGAACUACAACAGACAGAAAAGAGAGCCUCACAAGCGGAAUGGUGAAUAUUUAUCUGAAGAACGCUGGAGAACAUUUGGCUUAUUGCUGGAGAUCAAGUCUUGUUUUUGUCUUUUGCAGAUUAGACUGGGGAAUCAGACCUCAGCAAUGACUGAAAACUGAUAGUCUGGUUAGGUAUUUCCUGAAUGGAUGGGUGGAUGAAUGAAUGAAAAAUAGAUGUCCUUCCAGGAGGAAGGGGUGGUGGUGGGCUUAAAUGGUUAGCUAGUUGUCUUGUCUGUGGCAGGUGUUUCUUUUUCGAGUAAUGGACACACAGCAAGCAGAAGGACACUCACAAGAGCAUCUGUGGAGAUUUAUCUGAAGAACACUGGAGAACAUCUUCCAUUGCUGGAGUUCAGCAAUCACACAGAGCUCUGUUAGUCCUGUAGUUGUCUUUUGGAAUUACACACCUCAGCAAUGACUGGAAAUGUCCUGGUUACGUCCUUAACCCGUGUUCCCCGAAUAAGGAACGGAGACGUGUGUCUGUAGAUAAACAAACUUUUGGGAGUGAGUCAGACGACCAAUCACUUCUGAAGAUAAGAAAACAGGCCAGUGAAAUGCCAAUUGAAUUGGCGGAGCUUAGCUCCACAGCUGAAGUGAUAGAGACACAGCUGGAAAACAUGGUAUUAAGAUAAAUUAAUGACUUGAUAUCUUUCUAUUGUAUUUUGCAGAUUGGAAUGGACCACAUGGAGAAAAAGGGAAUCACACACCUCAGCAAUGACUGAAAAUUGAUGGUCAGGAAUUUUUUAAAAAUCCAGUCGAUGGGUGCAUGGAUGGACGUCCUUGCAAGAUUGAAGAGUGGCAAUCAGUUUGGAUGAGGAAUUAGGCCUUGUCUGUGUGAGUUUUUUCUUUUUCAGGUAAUGGAGAUAGAGCAGGCAGAAGAGGAGCAGGUAUGGCUUUGUUGGGGCUGUUUUUGUCUUUUGCAGAUUGAAGUGGAGCAGAAGAAAGAGACUCAAAAGGCAGGAGAUAUGCUUCAAGACCUGGAGGUCAGGAAACAGUUGGAGCAUGUGGAGCAACAGGGAAACACACAGAUGGUGCAUAUAUGGAUGUCCUUCCAGGAGGAAGGGGGUGGUGGUGGGCAUAGAUAGAUGUCUUUUCUGUGGCUGUUAUUUACAUUGUAGGUAAUGGAACCACAACAGACAGAGGAGAGAGCCUCACAAGCAGAAUGGUGAAUAUUUAUCUGAAGAACGCUGGAGAACAUUUGGCUUAUUGCUGGAGAUCAAGUCUUGUUUUUGUCUUUUGCAGAUUAGACUGGGGAAUCAGACCUCAGCAAUGACUGAAAACUGAUAGUCUGGUUAGGUAUUUCCUGAAUGGAUGGGUGGAUGAAUGAAUGAAAAAUAGAUGUCCUUCCCGGAGGAAGGGGGUGGUGGUGGGCAUAGAUGGUUAGCUAGUUGUCUUGUCUGCGGCAGGUGUUUCUUUUUCGAGUAAUGGACACACAGCAGGCAAAAGGACACUCUCACAAGAGCAUCUGUGGAGAUUUAUCUGAAGAACACUGGAGAACAUCUUCCAUUGCUGGAGUUCAGCAAUCACAUAGAGCUCUGUUAGUCCUGUCGUUGUCUUUUGGAAUUACACACCUCAGCAAUGACUGGAAAUGUCCUGGUUACGUCCUUAACCCAUGUUCACCGAAUAGGGAACGGAGACGCAUGUCUGUAGAUAAACAGACUUUUAUGAGUACGUCAGAUGACCAAUCACUUCUGAAGAUAAGAAAAUGGGCCAAUGAAAUGCCAAUUGAAUUGGCAGAGGUUAGCUCCACAGCUGAACUCCACACCUGAAACUCAGGUUCUGUGGCAGUGGAGAUACACGUCUCCGUUCCCUAUUUGGGAAACGUGGGUUACGGACGUAACCAGGACGUUCCCCUUUAUAAGGGAACUCCAACGUGUGGCUGAAGAUAAACAGACUUUUGGGAUGCAGUAUGGAAAACACCACAGCAGCUAAGCCCAUCACGCUCCUAAUAUGCAGUUUGCCAAGCGAAGCGUGAGCGCACUGACAUCACCAAAAGCGCAACCUUCCAACGUCCCCUAGGCCAAAAAUAUUACCAUUACAUGGGAAAUAUAAGAAUUAGAUUGGGGGUUGUAAUGUACUUUUACCUAGCUAAUAUAGACUAGGAAUUUUAAAAAUACGACAUUUCGUUGGGAAAGCGUGCCAGUCCCCGAACGGGGGAGACGCUGCGGAGAUCACCUGCUACCCAAGGGGGAAGACUUAAUGGUAAUUGAGCAUAUGGACUAGCCCUAAUGAGGGGGAGUGCUACAUAUGAUAAGCUGGUUAACGGUUAGGGAAGACACGGGUCCGCCUGAAAGGGGGAACACACAGUGGUAAAUAAUGCAUAUGGCAUCAACAAAACAGGGGAAUGCACAUAGCUGGCACUGAACCUCAGUAUGCAGGUAGACCAGAUGACAGACAACACACUGAGCCAUGCACUCGACUCCUCCGCUGAGUCAGGUGCUGGGGGCCUCGGAUGAAUUCUCUAGGGUUCACCCAAAAAGGGAAACUUACUAGUAGAAUAGAAAAUGCGCACGCAUCUCCUGGUUAGGGAGCGUUUAUUGACAUAGAGCUUAAUUUCCUCAUGAUUGACCGGUGUAACCAGUAAUCGGGAGGAAAGGCACUCAUCACCUCAUAUUAAAAGGAGGCAGUAGGAGCCUUGAAACAAGGUGAACCGAGGUUACUGGAACAUUUUGCUGACUGAAAAUGCCACCAGAUUCCUAACCCUCCUGAUAUCAGUACGAUCAGUAGAGCUGCCUAAAGGACAAAAAACUUAGAUACUGAUCGAGUGGCUCAACGGAUUUAAUCAUAACCCUUGGGGCUAGAGAGAUCCCAAGGGGGCGGAAGAGUGAGCGGGGAUGGAAUAACCAUCUCGCACCAUGCGUCUCUGAGAAACGGGCUGAUAAGGUUAUGCUUACCCAGCGUGCUUCCAUCCCCAGUAUUUUAGAAUGGGGAUGAUCGCACGGCAAACCUUCAGUGUGGAGGGAGACAGCCUGUGCUCCAGUUAUCCUGUAGGAAGAAAACACAACACUAAUCUGGCAUGUCCGAGGGUUUUCUCAGAGAGAAUUCCACACAACGAAUAGACUCCACUGCAGAACAUUGGCAUGACUAAUAGGGUGCCCUAGCCUGAGUGACUGUGUUAACCAUCACACUGAUAGGUCACUUAAGUCCACCGCGCUCUGUCUAGAAACCAUCCAAGGAGGUUCCAGAGCACUGCAUGGGUGCCAGAUGGGUGCCUGUCCCAGAAAAAUGAAAGUGUUUUUCUGGGUAAUUUAUCAGGGAGGGCCAUCACGAGGAGUGUGAUUCCGGAAACUCUGAAGCGGUUGGGCCAGAGAGGCGCAACGAGCGAGACCCGCUCCUCGUCUCCCUGGCCUUGCACAGUGUCUGUGCGAGCAGGCUCACUGGGGAAAAGACGUAACCCGUAUUGCAUAACCCUGGGCCAGCUGAGAGCCAGCGCCUUUGUGCAGAGCUGGGAAAGCAGCCAGCGAAGGGCCGCUCGGGAGAAACAGCAGGCGGACCUCGGCUUCUCUGAAACAUGCCCAUAACAGCUAGAAUGUACUGGGGUGGAGUUUCUGUUCUCCCAGAAACAUAACGGUCCUGAGAGCAUAUAAGCUGGCAUGGAGAGCUUGUACGGGAUAUGAACAGCGCGUAGCUUUUUAGCCGCAAGACUCCAGAGCAGCAGAUGGCGAGCAUGUUGCGGUAGCGCACACCACCCAAACGGUUGAUGUACGCUAUCGCAGCCGUGCUGACCAUCCUAAUCAACACAUGUAUCCCCGACGAAGAGCGAAAAACAAUGCCAUACGGCUCCAGGCAGUUGAAAUGCCAAUGCAACGGGGAUUCGGUUUACAAACCUGCAGCUGCCUGCUCGCACAACCCGUCAGCCCAAAAUGGAAGCAUCUGUCAAAAUGACAGCAUAUAUAGACACAUGUGCUUUGGGUACUUAGGCCCGUAGAUGGCAAGAUCCAUCCAGGGGCUGAAGGUGCGAAGACUCAGCAUGGUGACAUACACCCUGUGAACAAAAAAAAUCACAGUCAAUGAAUAAUCAAAAAUGCAGAUGCAUCCUCCACGCAUGGAAACAGAGAGCCAUAAUGGGAGAACUUUUACUACCAUGCUCGGCCCCCCGUCGCACAUCAGAAAAAUCACAUUAUAAGAAGGGAGAGAGCGAGACCUGGAGUGAUCGCCCUUCAGGUCUAUAGCUGCAAGCAAUCCCACGAAUCCACGCACUAGGUAAUGCGUUUCUGCAUAAGCAUCUUGAUCGGCAUCCUGAACAGAAGCUAGAUCAAAACGCGCAGAUAGGAUUGGUAUAAUCCACCGCCCUCUGGAUACGAUGAAGGGGAGGGGUAAACUCAUUCUUCAUCUUGGCUGGAGGACUAGCUUGAUUGUAUCCUUAGCUAGGAGGAUAACAAUCUUCUCACGCGAGACAGGGGUGGCAUAGCAAAUAAUUGCUUAAAUACACACCCUUGAACUCGGGAGGCCAACAGUAAAUUGAAACACAUGGCCGAGUCUGAACACCCACGUGAGCUACCAUAAUGUGCUGAGCAGCGCUAACCAGGCUGACAAAGUCCGAAUAAGCUGCAUCACCGGAACGAUCGCUGACGUACCCACGGAGGGGCAGCUUCGGAGUGCUCACCCCGGGAAGCAGAGUGUCCCGAGAAAGAGGUGAAAAUAAAAAGUUGACUCUUACCUUCCUCCCAGGAUCCCGCGGAGUGGCUGGAGGUGCGAGAAAGGAGGUCAUCCUCUGGCGCCCUCAAAUCUGUGACGAAAUGCACCAAAGCUAAGAGCAGGAAGGCAGAGGGAGGAAAAGCCGCUCUUUUGGGAUUGUUACAUUCACGGGGGAGCCCCGGCCUCCACCUGGGAAAGAAUGGUCCAUUUCCUCUCCCAGCGGCCCGCCUCGGGUUCGCUUUGCGGUCCGAUAACUGAACUUAUAGGCCACCUGUGACGGGAGCGUCAACUCCUCGCGGAGGGCCUCGGCUCGUUCACUUAGUCAGUCUGUGAUGGUGAAGCAUUUUGACGCCACGGGAAGAGUGCACUCGGCGAGGAACGGCCAGCGCGAACGGGUCUGAUAGAGCAAUUUUCUGAGGAUGACCUGCUCCAUCGUGUAUGGCUGAUAUUUCACCACCAAGGACU